GUGGGGAAUCUUGCGCAAUGGGCGAAAGCCUGACGCAGCCAUGCCGCGUGAAUGAUGAAGGUCUUAGGAUUGUAAAAUUCUUUCACCGGGGACGAUAAUGACGGUACCCGGAGAAGAAGCCCCGGCUAACUUCGUGCCAGCAGCCGCGGUAAUACGAAGGGGGCUAGCGUUGCUCGGAAUUACUGGGCGUAAAGGGCGCGUAGGCGGAUCGUUAAGUCAGUGGUGAAAUCCCAGAGCUCAACUCUGGAACUGCCCUUGAUACUGGCGAUCUUGAGUGUGAGAGAGGUAUGUGGAACUCCGAGUGUAGAGGUGAAAUUCGUAGAUAUUCGGAAGAACACCAGUGGCGAAGGCGACAUACUGGCUCAUUACUGACGCUGAGGCGCGAAAGCGUGGGGAGCAAACAGGAUUAGAUACCCUGGUAGUCC
RNAcentral lists this ribosomal RNA (425 nucleotides) under uncultured bacterium. Its description in RNAcentral is "partial 16S ribosomal RNA". It matches the Rfam family "Bacterial small subunit ribosomal RNA", at positions 354 to 796 of the family's 1533-position model. The record is from RNAcentral.